This 303-nucleotide long non-coding RNA is filed under the name Androctonus crassicauda. The record is from RNAcentral. Lineage: Eukaryota; Metazoa; Arthropoda; Arachnida; Scorpiones; Buthidae.
AUUAGACCUUUCUAAAGAUACCAUAUUUAUAAAAAUCGGUACAGUAGUUAAACCGAAAAAGGGACAUCCAGCCAGACAGUCACGUUUAACUAAUAAUAUAUAUGAUUAGCAUUAUUUGCAAUUGUAAACUAAAAAAUAACAUUCUAAAAAUUUUUGUAAUUUUGAUAUUUUAUUAUUAUAAUUUCCAUUUCUGGAAGUAUAAAUCUGGAUUAUCCUCUAUCAUAUGCAUUGUAAAAGAUAAUUCAUUCAUUGUGUUACAAGCUCUUUUCAUGAUAACUAGUCUUAAAAAAGUAUUACAAAAAC